Molecule: ribosomal RNA, 440 nt
Filed under: uncultured bacterium
Lineage: Bacteria
Description: partial 16S ribosomal RNA
Rfam family: Bacterial small subunit ribosomal RNA
Source: RNAcentral
CCUACGGGUGGCUGCAGUGGGGAAUAUUGCACAAUGGGGGAAACCCUGAUGCAGCGACGCCGCGUGAGUGAAGAAGUAUUACGGUAUGUAAAGCCCUGUCAGCCGGGAAGAAAAUGACGGUACCUGACCACGAAUCCCCGGCUAACUACGUGCCAGCAGCCGCGGUCAUACGUAGGGGGCAAGCGUUAUCCGGAAUUACUGGGGGUAAAGGGUGAGUAGGCGGCAUGGUAAGGCAGAUGUGAAAGCCUUGGGCUUAACCCGAGGUGUGCAUUUGGAACUAUCAAGCUGGAGUGCAGGAGAGGAAAGCGGAAUUCCUAGUGUAGCGGUGAAAUGCGUAGAUAUUAGGAAGAACACCAGUGGCGAAGGCGGCUUACUGGACUGAAACUGAUGCUGAGGCACGAAAGCGUGGGGAGCGAACAGGAUUAGAUACCCCUGUAGUC